UCGCUGCCAGUUGCAACGGGUAGAGCCGGGCGACUCUGGCGGGACUGCCAUCGACAAGAUGGAGGAAGGUGGGGAGUGACGUCAAGUCAUCAUGGCCCUUAUGUCCAGGGCGACACACGUGCUACAAUGGCCGGCACAGCGGGAAGCGAGGCAGUGAUGCCAAGCGGAUCCCUUAAAGCCGGUCUCAGUUCGGAUUGAAGUCUGCAACUCGACUUCAUGAAGCUGGAAUCGCUAGUAAUCGCAGAUCAGCCAAGCUGCGGUGAAUACGUUCCCGGGCCUU
Molecule: ribosomal RNA, 280 nt
Filed under: uncultured Synergistaceae bacterium
Lineage: Bacteria; Thermotogati; Synergistota; Synergistia; Synergistales; Synergistaceae
Description: partial 16S ribosomal RNA
Rfam family: Bacterial small subunit ribosomal RNA
Source: RNAcentral